RNAcentral lists this transfer RNA (78 nucleotides) under Candidatus Nitrosotenuis uzonensis. Its description in RNAcentral is "Thaumarchaeota archaeon N4 tRNA-Arg". The record is from RNAcentral. Lineage: Archaea; Thermoproteati; Nitrososphaerota.
GGACUCGUAGCACAGUCUGGAUAGUGCGGGCGGCUUCGGACCGCCAGGUCGAGGGAUCGAAGCCCUCCGAGCCCUCUA